This 1461-nucleotide ribosomal RNA is filed under the name Lactiplantibacillus plantarum. RNAcentral's name for it is "Lactobacillus plantarum 16S ribosomal RNA". It matches the Rfam family "Bacterial small subunit ribosomal RNA". Lineage: Bacteria; Bacillati; Bacillota; Bacilli; Lactobacillales; Lactobacillaceae. The record is from RNAcentral.
UUGAUCCUGGCUCAGGACGAACGCUGGCGGCGUGCCUAAUACAUGCAAGUCGAACGAACUCUGGUAUUGAUUGGUGCUUGCAUCAUGAUUUACAUUUGAGUGAGUGGCGAACUGGUGAGUAACACGUGGGAAACCUGCCCAGAAGCGGGGGAUAACACCUGGAAACAGAUGCUAAUACCGCAUAACAACUUGGACCGCAUGGUCCGAGCUUGAAAGAUGGCUUCGGCUAUCACUUUUGGAUGGUCCCGCGGCGUAUUAGCUAGAUGGUGGGGUAACGGCUCACCAUGGCAAUGAUACGUAGCCGACCUGAGAGGGUAAUCGGCCACAUUGGGACUGAGACACGGCCCAAACUCCUACGGGAGGCAGCAGUAGGGAAUCUUCCACAAUGGACGAAAGUCUGAUGGAGCAACGCCGCGUGAGUGAAGAAGGGUUUCGGCUCGUAAAACUCUGUUGUUAAAGAAGAACAUAUCUGAGAGUAACUGUUCAGGUAUUGACGGUAUUUAACCAGAAAGCCACGGCUAACUACGUGCCAGCAGCCGCGGUAAUACGUAGGUGGCAAGCGUUGUCCGGAUUUAUUGGGCGUAAAGCGAGCGCAGGCGGUUUUUUAAGUCUGAUGUGAAAGCCUUCGGCUCAACCGAAGAAGUGCAUCGGAAACUGGGAAACUUGAGUGCAGAAGAGGACAGUGGAACUCCAUGUGUAGCGGUGAAAUGCGUAGAUAUAUGGAAGAACACCAGUGGCGAAGGCGGCUGUCUGGUCUGUAACUGACGCUGAGGCUCGAAAGUAUGGGUAGCAAACAGGAUUAGAUACCCUGGUAGUCCAUACCGUAAACGAUGAAUGCUAAGUGUUGGAGGGUUUCCGCCCUUCAGUGCUGCAGCUAACGCAUUAAGCAUUCCGCCUGGGGAGUACGGCCGCAAGGCUGAAACUCAAAGGAAUUGACGGGGGCCCGCACAAGCGGUGGAGCAUGUGGUUUAAUUCGAAGCUACGCGAAGAACCUUACCAGGUCUUGACAUACUAUGCAAAUCUAAGAGAUUAGACGUUCCCUUCGGGGACAUGGAUACAGGUGGUGCAUGGUUGUCGUCAGCUCGUGUCGUGAGAUGUUGGGUUAAGUCCCGCAACGAGCGCAACCCUUAUUAUCAGUUGCCAGCAUUAAGUUGGGCACUCUGGUGAGACUGCCGGUGACAAACCGGAGGAAGGUGGGGAUGACGUCAAAUCAUCAUGCCCCUUAUGACCUGGGCUACACACGUGCUACAAUGGAUGGUACAACGAGUUGCGAACUCGCGAGAGUAAGCUAAUCUCUUAAAGCCAUUCUCAGUUCGGAUUGUAGGCUGCAACUCGCCUACAUGAAGUCGGAAUCGCUAGUAAUCGCGGAUCAGCAUGCCGCGGUGAAUACGUUCCCGGGCCUUGUACACACCGCCCGUCACACCAUGAGAGUUUGUAACACCCAAAGUCGGUGGGGUAACC